CCUCGUUUGGUUCUAGAGUAUUAGCGGGGAUAGGCGAGUAUUAUCCCGGCCCAUUUCCGAAUCCCCAGUUUUCCCCGAUAGCCCAUUUGGUACUAGAGUUUUGGCCCAAAAAAAUCCCCGCCAUCCCCGGAAAACCCCGUCCCCGAUCCAUUUUUUGCCUUGGGCUCAAUCCACGACCCAGGGGUCGCGUAUUAUCCCCGUCCCCGAUCCAAACCCUGCCGGCGGCGAGCGUACCGGCGGCGAGCGGGCACUACCGAGUGGAGGUGCACGAGGCGGUAGCUGCCGGAGGGAAGGAACAUCUGCGGGGAAGACAAUACCACAUCACCGCUCCACAUCGCCGAUCCACAUCGCCGCUGCCGCCGUUCUUGGGACCUGACCGGCGACGCCACCUCCUGGACUUCGGUAUCCUCUCCGGACCUAGGGACAAUGAUACUGAGGCUCUCAAAUUUUUUGUGUUGAAUGAAGCUGAGAAAGCAGGAGAGGCAACGCUUCAAGAUGAGUUGUAGUGUGCUGGUAGACAAUGAUACUCUGCUCAAGCAACUUUUGAGUACUGCUCGACCUGUUUAAUUUUUGUUUGAUCGAGUUGGCUUGUACCGUCUCCUUGCGUUUGUUGCUAACUUGGUAUGUUACUACGUCAGAUGCAAGAAGAAUUUGUUGGUAUGCUAACUUGCGUUUGUCAGGAUGAGCUUCAGAGUUUGUUAGUGUGUUAUUUGUCAAUUUUAAUGUAUGCUGAACAUCAAGUAUGUUGCCAUGUCGAGAGUUCAAGUCCAGAGUGGCCUAUGAUUUAUUUGAAGACGGUUUA
Long non-coding RNA from Lolium perenne, 802 nucleotides. RefSeq lists it as uncharacterized. Lineage: Eukaryota; Viridiplantae; Streptophyta; Magnoliopsida; Poales; Poaceae. The record is from RefSeq and is a predicted model, not a curated record.